This 468-nucleotide ribosomal RNA is filed under the name uncultured bacterium. RNAcentral describes it as "SSU rRNA". It matches the Rfam family "Bacterial small subunit ribosomal RNA", at positions 26 to 518 of the family's 1533-position model. The record is from RNAcentral.
AGGAUAAACGCUGGCGGCGUGCCUAACACAUGCAAGUCGAACGCGCUUUCGGGCUUCGGUGCGAGAGCGAGUGGCGGACGGGUGAGUAACACAUGGGUACCUGCCUUUCAGUGAGGGAUACCGGCGAGAAAUCGCCGACAAUACCGCAUGGGCUUGUGGGAACACAAGCAAAGUGGCGCAAGCCACGCUGGAAGAUGGGCCUGUGGCCGAUUAGCUAGUUGGGGGGGUAACGGCCUCCCAAGGCGACGAUCGGUAGCUGGUCUGAGAGGACGAUCAGCCACACUGGGAUUGAGAACGGCCCAGACUCCUACGGGGGGCAGCAGUGAGGAAUUUUCCGCAAUGGACGAAAGUCUGACGGAGCAACGCCGCGUGCAGGAGGAGGUUUCGGAUCGUAAACUGCUUUUCUCGGGGACGAGCAAGGACGGUACCCGAGGAAGAAGCCCCGGCUAACUACGCGCCAGCAGCCGC